AGGAUAAACGACCGGCGGCGUGCCUAACACAUGCAAGUCGAACGCCCUCCACGCAAGUGAGGGAGGUGGCGGACGGGUGGAGGAACACGUGGAUACCUACCCCCUCGGUGAGGAAUACCGGCGAGAAAUCGCCGACAAUACCGCAUACGCUUCGUAAGAAGCAAAGCCUUCGUAAGAGGGCGCCAGAGGAUGGGUCUGCGCCUGAUUAGCCGGUUGGUGGGGUAAUGGCCUACCAAAGCGACGAUCAGUAGCUGGUCUGAGAGGACGAUCAGCCACACUGGGAUUGAGAACGGCCCAGACUCCUACGGGGGGCAGCAGUGAGGAAUUUUCGGCAAUGGACGCAAGUCUGACCGAGCAACGCCGCGUGCAGGAUGACGGCCUUGGGUUGUAAACUGCUUUUCCCAGGGACGAGCAAGGACGGUACCUGGGGAACAACGCCCGGCUAACUACGUGCCAGCAGCCGC
This 464-nucleotide ribosomal RNA is filed under the name uncultured bacterium. RNAcentral describes it as "SSU rRNA". It matches the Rfam family "Bacterial small subunit ribosomal RNA", at positions 26 to 518 of the family's 1533-position model. The record is from RNAcentral.